AUUGAACGCUGGCGGCAUGCUUUACACAUGCAAGUCGAACGGUAACAGGGAGCUUGCUCCGCUGACGAGUGGCGAACGGGUGAGUAAUGCAUCGGAACGUACCCAGUCGUGGGGGAUAACGUAGCGAAAGUUACGCUAAUACCGCAUACGUCCUGAGGGAGAAAGCGGGGGACCGUAAGGCCUCGCGCGAUUGGAGCGGCCGAUGUCGGAUUAGCUAGUUGGUAGGGUAAAGGCCUACCAAGGCGACGAUCCGUAGCGGGUCUGAGAGGAUGAUCCGCCACACUGGGACUGAGACACGGCCCAGACUCCUACGGGAGGCAGCAGUGGGGAAUUUUGGACAAUGGGGGCAACCCUGAUCCAGCAAUGCCGCGUGAGUGAAGAAGGCCUCGGGUUGUAAGCUCUUUGUCAGGGAAGAACACCGGCUAACUACGUG
RNAcentral lists this ribosomal RNA (433 nucleotides) under uncultured bacterium. Its description in RNAcentral is "bacterial SSU rRNA". It matches the Rfam family "Bacterial small subunit ribosomal RNA", at positions 30 to 507 of the family's 1533-position model. The record is from RNAcentral.